UACGUAGAAGACUAGUGUUAUUCAUCUUUAAUAGGUUUAAAGGGUCCUAGACGGUAUAAUUAGUCUUUAACAGGAAACGGUUAUACUAGAGUUAUAUAUGAGGAGGUGAGUAUUUGUGGAGUAGAGUUGAAAUUCUUUGAUACCAUGAAGACUGGUAAAGGCGAAAGCAACCUUUUAUCUAAUAACUGACGUUGAGGGACGAAGGCUCGGGUCGCGAACAGG
RNAcentral lists this ribosomal RNA (222 nucleotides) under uncultured bacterium. RNAcentral's name for it is "partial 16S ribosomal RNA". It matches the Rfam family "Bacterial small subunit ribosomal RNA", at positions 524 to 776 of the family's 1533-position model. The record is from RNAcentral.